UCUGUGUACUGGAACAUUCAGUGAGAUUUGCCAGCACUGCUGAAUCUGCUGAUGUGCCACUCUCCUGUUCCGGAAAGAGGGACAGUUCUGUGUAAAAGAGAAACUAACGUUACGCAACAGGAACCAGCGACAUGGUUUGGAGCAGAGCUACUAACAAACAACACGGUGUUCCAGUAAGUGGGCGGGUCAAAUAUCAAAAUAGGGAGAUAAUUAGCUACAAUAGAGGUUUUGUGUUGACCGGUGAAGUCUCUUCCCAGAUACAGACGAGAGAAAGAGAAUGCUGUCUUCUCUGAUCCUGGAGAAAGCCUCUACAGAGUAGAUCUACAGCUUAGGAUAAUUAUUCUCAAUCUCAACAUAGAGACAAACCAAUGGAGCUGUGGAUCGCGACAUUACUCUGUUGACACUUUUGCCUGCUCUACCCGGCAAGUCUUGGAUUUUGAGAGAGGACUUUUGGAUUUUCAACAGAAUUCAGACUUUUGGUGCAGCAGAGCCAAGUGCUAAAGGACCGGCUGAAGUGGAAAGUGUAUCAGGAAACUUGGAACGUCAGAUAAAAGCCACGUACAGCUUUGGAGAUGAAGUCGAGCAGGUGGACACGCAGGCUGAUUUCCUGUUGGUGGUCACAUGGUCCGAAGGUGAAGGACACCUGGUAGUCUCUGGUGUCCAUCAUGUGUUUGUUCCACUUUGUGAAACUGCUGGAGAUGGACUGUAACACUGCAUGGACCUGAAGAAGCUCAGGGAGUGAUCCAAAUAUAUUUAAUUAAUUAUUCAUAUUUGAUUAGUAUCUUUUAAGCCGUAUAUUUUAUUUAUUAUAUCACAUAUAUUAAAUUGUUAUACUCAAUAAACAGAAACUCUCAAUCAACAUUAGCCUUUCCUACUCUGCUUAAUGUUAUAUACAUAUGACACAGAUUAAUUGUAUUAUUAUAAUAAGGUGUAAUAACUGUGAACAAUCUUGUAAUAUCUACUCAACACAAUAUGAGACAGGCCUGACCAUCCUGAUCCCACUGACCUUGGUGGUGAUGGUGAGUUGGGUAAUGAUGACUGCAACAGGGUUGGAGUAUUUAGACAGUUUCCUGGUGCUGGACAGUUCCACGACCUCCUCAUAAGAGUCAGUGGGGUAGUGCAGCCCGGGUCUGGGGUCUCCCAGGCACUGGAUCAGGGGCUCGAUCUGAUAGAAGUCAGCCUCCUUCCUGAGCAGCUUCCUCUCCUUGAAGUCGCACGGCAGCGUGAGCUCCGACGUCCGCAGGAAGUUGAGGACGUAGCUGAAACAGCAGAAACAGACGGGGUCAGUCCGGACUGCUGAGCUGAUGAGUCUGUAGAACUCUGAGCUGUCAGUUGACGUCGGGACCGGAGGGGAGAGAGCUGCUGUCCAUUCACACAGAUACUAACUCUAUCAGGGCGGGAAAAAGUUUGUUUUGGAUAUCCUGAAAGUUUAGUUGACUCCUGUGUUAGAGAAUAAUGUGAGUGUUGUUCUGUUUGUCAACAAAUCCUAUGAAAAAAACAAAAGGAUGCGUCUGUCUCUUUAUACUUCUUCACUUCACUUCCUUACUACGUAUGUGGCUUCAAAACCUGAGCUAAAGUUCCAACAGACGAUAAAUAUCUUUAAAAGUAGCUUCGAAAUAUAUAGUUUGCAUUGUACAUGUGGUGAUUGUAGAUAUAUCCUGAUAUAAAGAUCUAUCCUGUAAUGGACUGAGGAAGGCCUCUGGUGAUGAGCCUCAUCAGAAUGGCAAGGGUUUCCAAUCUAACAUUUACCGUGGUAGUUGGGUAACAUGCUAAUACUCAUUAGCAUUUAGCAUGUCAAACUGUAAAUGUGAAUAUCAAGUUUACCAGCUAGGUGUAGAUUUACUGUUUCCAAAAUGUGUAACCCGACCACACACAAACACACACACAAAAACAAACCGAAACAGUGGACCGUCGCGGUCGAUGAAAACGUUUCCAUGCGAGUCCUUCACUGUGGGGAAGUCUCCGCUGAACAUGGCUCCCAACAUGGAUUCUGGAUAA
Pleuronectes platessa (European plaice) is the source of this 1998-nucleotide long non-coding RNA. RefSeq lists it as uncharacterized. NCBI's taxonomy places the organism in Eukaryota, Metazoa, Chordata, Actinopteri, Pleuronectiformes, Pleuronectidae. The record is from RefSeq and is a predicted model, not a curated record. The transcript is spliced from 3 exons.